UACGGGGGGGGCAAGCGUUGUUCGGAAUUACUGGGCGUAAAGGGCUCGUAGGCGGCCAACUAAGUCGGACGUGAAAUCCCUCGGCUUAACCGGGGAACUGCGUCCGAUACUGGAUGGCUUGAGUGUGGGAGAGGGAUGCGGAAUUCCAGGUGUAGCGGUGAAAUGCGUAGAUAUCUGGAGGAACACCGGUGGCGAAGGCGACAUCCUGGACCGGUAUUGACGCUGAGGCGCGAAAGCCAGGGGAGCAAACGGG
This 253-nucleotide ribosomal RNA is filed under the name uncultured bacterium. RNAcentral describes it as "partial 16S ribosomal RNA". It matches the Rfam family "Bacterial small subunit ribosomal RNA", at positions 524 to 776 of the family's 1533-position model. The record is from RNAcentral.